This 540-nucleotide ribosomal RNA is filed under the name Bifidobacterium breve. RNAcentral's name for it is "bacterial SSU rRNA". It matches the Rfam family "Bacterial small subunit ribosomal RNA", at positions 160 to 710 of the family's 1533-position model. The record is from RNAcentral. Lineage: Bacteria; Bacillati; Actinomycetota; Actinomycetes; Bifidobacteriales; Bifidobacteriaceae.
GUGGUAAUGCCGGAUGCUCCAUCACACUGCAUGGUGUGUUGGGAAAGCCUUUGCGGCAUGGGAUGGGGUCGCGUCCUAUCAGCUUGAUGGCGGGGUAACGGCCCACCAUGGCUUCGACGGGUAGCCGGCCUGAGAGGGCGACCGGCCACAUUGGGACUGAGAUACGGCCCAGACUCCUACGGGAGGCAGCAGUGGGGAAUAUUGCACAAUGGGCGCAAGCCUGAUGCAGCGACGCCGCGUGAGGGAUGGAGGCCUUCGGGUUGUAAACCUCUUUUGUUAGGGAGCAAGGCACUUUGUGUUGAGUGUACCUUUCGAAUAAGCACCGGCUAACUACGUGCCAGCAGCCGCGGUAAUACGUAGGGUGCAAGCGUUAUCCGGAAUUAUUGGGCGUAAAGGGCUCGUAGGCGGUUCGUCGCGUCCGGUGUGAAAGUCCAUCGCUUAACGGUGGAUCCGCGCCGGGUACGGGCGGGCUUGAGUGCGGUAGGGGAGACUGGAAUUCCCGGUGUAACGGUGGAAUGUGUAGAUAUCGGGAAGAACACC